CGGGGAGUGGCGCAGCCUGGUAGCGCACUUGCAUGGGGUGCAAGGGGUCGCAGGUUCGAAUCCUGUCUCCCCGACCA
This 77-nucleotide transfer RNA is filed under the name Chloroflexota bacterium. Its description in RNAcentral is "Chloroflexi bacterium (soil metagenome) tRNA-Pro". It matches the Rfam family "tRNA". Rfam says of the family: Transfer RNA (tRNA) molecules are approximately 80 nucleotides in length. Their secondary structure includes four short double-helical elements and three loops (D, anti-codon, and T loops). Further hydrogen bonds mediate the characteristic L-shaped molecular structure. tRNAs have two regions of fundamental functional importance: the anti-codon, which is responsible for specific mRNA codon recognition, and the 3' end, to which the tRNAs corresponding amino acid is attached (by aminoacyl-tRNA synthetases). tRNAs cope with the degeneracy of the genetic code in two manners: having more than one tRNA (with a specific anti-codon) for a particular amino acid; and 'wobble' base-pairing, i.e. permitting non-standard base-pairing at the 3rd anti-codon position. Lineage: Bacteria; Bacillati; Chloroflexota. RNAcentral also lists the same sequence under 1 other name. The record is from RNAcentral.